Molecule: ribosomal RNA, 253 nt
Filed under: uncultured bacterium
Lineage: Bacteria
Description: partial 16S ribosomal RNA
Rfam family: Bacterial small subunit ribosomal RNA
Source: RNAcentral
UACGGAGGGGGCUAGCGUUGUUCGGAAUUACUGGGCGUAAAGCGCACGUAGGCGGCUUUGUAAGUCAGGGGUGAAAGCCUGGAGCUCAACUCCAGAACUGCCUUUGAGACUGCAUCGCUUGAAUCCGGGAGAGGUGAGUGGAAUUCCGAGUGUAGAGGUGAAAUUCGUAGAUAUUCGGAAGAACACCAGUGGCGAAGGCGGCUCACUGGACCGGGAUUGACGCUGAGGUGCGAAAGCGUGGGGAGCAAACAGG